GAAGAACCGUCGAAGGAGCGCGUCAGGGAGGAGGAGUAGGAGAGUGGGGUGCAGAGUGGAGUGCGCCGGGCGUAGGGUAAGGGAAAAGGUCGGGGGGGAGCGACGCAGACGCAGACGACCGUUCUCUGUGUCGUGCGGCGCCGGCGGGGUGGGUGGGCGGUCGGUCGGGAGUGUUUCUGAACUGGCCAAGGACGCUGGCGGAGCCGGAGAAGCGGAGGUGGCGGAGAAGGCGCUAGGGGAAGGCGGGCGGCAGAAGGCAGGCACCGGGGUCGAGGCCGAAGGGGGACGACCAAUGGCGAGAGGGGAGGCUAGCUAGCCAGCCCCGAUGCAGGGCCGCGGCCGCGCCGAGACGAGAGGCGUGGUGUCCACUCCCUUGAGGAAGGAGCCGCUGGUGAAGGGCUAGGUAAGGCAAAGCGCACUCUUCUCCGCGGAAGGACCCACGGCCGCGAAAACGGCGCCAACGACCGUCUCGAGAGCAACCAAAUCCCGAGCUCCAAAACCACGAGGACCUAAAUGCGGAAACCCCCGUCCCUCCUCUCUAAAAAAAUAAAAAAACCGGCCUUGAGGAGGAGAGGAGCUCAGGGUUAAAACCGCGUACGCCUCGAGCUAAGCCCCGGGGAAGGACGCUUUGGUGCCGGGCAACCGAGCUAGCUGGUGUAUCGCCCCUAAGCUCAACGUGGUACCACGCACCCCUCGGCCCCGAGUAACGGCAGACCAACGUCAUGAUUACCUAGGGGAAAACCAGCACACCUCAUUCCCCUCUCUCCCCUAGUAUAUGUUACCUUUGAGAUGCACUGUACCGAGACGGUGGUCCUAAACCUAAGGUAGGAUUCCUGUGACUUGAGCAACGAGUGAUAGACUUUUUCUUUUAUGAACCAGUCUUUUAACUUAUACUGUAAUAUGGUCUCCACCUAUAUAUGUUCGUACUUGGUACCCUAAAUGGACGCUUCACGUUACAAGGUUGUGUCCUAUUGUUCACCGUAAAGAAACGACGAGCUCUGUCUUUCAUAGGAUUACCACGAGCCAGUUUAUCCCGUUGCCAACGACCCAUAACCUUCAGAUGACCUUUUCUGGCCCGGUAAUUCCACCUAUUCUCCUGGUAUCCUUGUUUCUUUUGAAAUCAAAAAGUACUUCCAGCCGGAGGGUGACCUUUUGCAUGACUCACCUAAUACGUACUUAUGAUGUAUCUACUCUUGCUUACAGUUAGGACGGGACUAUACUUCCUACGGAAACAAGAUACAUUUCAAUGAUUUUCUUAACUGACCUGUAGUCUCUUACCAUUGCUCCACCCGUUAUUAUUGGGAGUCGGUGUUGUUCGUUUACAACGACGAUAAAAUCGACAGUCACAACUUGUCGGUCUAUGACGACGUAGUAGUUAAUAACCACUACUUGAAGGUUCACUACGACGAUGGCAUCGAUAGGGACGAGUGUACUGAGGUCUACCCUUACUACUGGAAUUUCUUACCGACCUUCUUGACGAACUAUGGAGGAAACUAGGAAGACGAUUGUGACGUCACCUAAGACAAAGACGAGUUGACAGAGGCCUACUUGUUUUACGACUUAGUAACUUGUAACCACGAUACCGAGGCUUCCACCUUGACCUGAUACGGUCAGGAUUGGUCUGACACCAUCUGCUAUAUCUGAAGGACAACGGUCUACUAUAAGUGAGGUACAACAUAGGACCAUCACUACUGAAGUGAAGUACCGUCGUUUGUAUGAAAUGCCGCCGCCUAGGGAAGUCAGACAGUUUGUUGAAGUACCUACUUAAAGUCUACUUUCUCGAUGUCAAUGGAGACCUUUUAUUACCCGGAUUAGACAUACUUGGACGACUAUGACCUUAACAUCACGCUUGUGCAGUACCCCCUUGUAGACGUCGAUCGCAAGGUGGUAUGUUCCGAGCUGAAGUCGUUUCAGAACCGUCCUACCAAUGCUCGUCGAGACUUAGGUAGUUGGUCUGAUAGUUCAAGCAACUGUUAUUGCCAGUAGAACUAGAGUACUGAUUACACUUUGUGGUCUUCUUUGUACACGCACUAUAAUGAACACGGUCCGUCAGACUACGUCUCUUCACACCUUCAGUGUUGUUGGUUCCUAAAAAGUCCCCGCAGGUUUCCCGUAAAUCUCCGACAAGUCGUUGUCCUGAGUUAUAUGAGCAACGAGAAACGUACCAACCUCAACGACGUCGUUAUGACGUGGUACCUGCAGUGGCACCGCCCUAGUCUAACAUCAUCUCCCCCUAGUCUUCGCACGGAUCAAAAUCGACAUGUUUAGACAUCGUAGAUGCGUGACACUAGAACUGUCAUCCGUGACACUAACUUCACCUACUCGCUAACUCGUACACCGACCCUAGGAACGGAAGACCUCCAUGAACCAGCAAUGUGCAUUACACAAGAGAGCACGUCCUGUAACUAAGGGAAUAUAGACCAACGACGUACCACAAACAUGUAUACUUCGAGAACGAAAAACUAGUUAGACCGAUCCAUAAUACCACUACCUACUCACGGUUUGUCUUUUCUUGUUUUUGUAUCCCUUAUUAUCAACACUAUUUAAGAGAGAAUGAUGUACGAUCUAAACAUUGAGACUUGGUAUCAAUUGUCGAACCUCAUCCCAGUAGAAAAAGUAAGCUCAACUUGAUUCCUAUAAAUACAUUUAAUCGCUCAUUAUUAGUAGCAGAGAUACCUAAUGUCGUAAUAACCUAGUGUCAUAACGACAGUAAACUUCGCUACUGGACAAACGAACUCAUGAUGACAGUAAACUUCGCUACUGGACAAACGAA
This 2773-nucleotide ribosomal RNA is filed under the name Triticum aestivum (bread wheat). RNAcentral's name for it is "partial small subunit ribosomal RNA". Lineage: Eukaryota; Viridiplantae; Streptophyta; Magnoliopsida; Poales; Poaceae. The record is from RNAcentral.